RNAcentral lists this ribosomal RNA (1439 nucleotides) under Kocuria sp. BS-1. Its description in RNAcentral is "bacterial SSU rRNA". It matches the Rfam family "Bacterial small subunit ribosomal RNA". Lineage: Bacteria; Bacillati; Actinomycetota; Actinomycetes; Micrococcales; Micrococcaceae. The record is from RNAcentral.
CCUGCAGUCGAACGAUGAUGCCCAGCUUGCUGGGCGGAUUAGUGGCGAACGGGUGAGUAAUACGUGAGUAACCUGCCCUUGACUCUGGGAUAAGCCUGGGAAACUGGGUCUAAUACUGGAUACUACCUCUUACCGCAUGGUGGGUGGUGGAAAGGGUUUUACUGGUUUUGGAUGGGCUCACGGCCUAUCAGCUUGUUGGUGGGGUAAUGGCUCACCAAGGCGACGACGGGUAGCCGGCCUGAGAGGGUGACCGGCCACACUGGGACUGAGACACGGCCCAGACUCCUACGGGAGGCAGCAGUGGGGAAUAUUGCACAAUGGGCGGAAGCCUGAUGCAGCGACGCCGCGUGAGGGAUGACGGCCUUCGGGUUGUAAACCUCUUUCAGUAGGGAAGAAGCGAGAGUGACGGUACCUGCAGAAGAAGCGCCGGCUAACUACGUGCCAGCACCCGCGGUAAUACGUAGGGCGCAAGCGUUGUCCGGAAUUUAUUGGGCGUAAAGAGCUCGUAGGCGGUUUGUCGCGUCUGCUGUGAAAGCCCGGGGCUCAACCCCGGGUCUGCAGUGGGUACGGGCAGACUAGAGUGCAGUAGGGGAGACUGGAAUUCCUGGUGUAGCGGUGAAAUGCGCAGAUAUCAGGAGGAACACCGAUGGCGAAGGCAGGUCUCUGGGCUGUUACUGACGCUGAGGAGCGAAAGCAUGGGGAGCGAACAGGAUUAGAUACCCUGGUAGUCCAUGCCGUAAACGUUGGGCACUAGGUGUGGGGGACAUUCCACGUUUUCCGCGCCGUAGCUAACGCAUUAAGUGCCCCGCCUGGGGAGUACGGCCGCAAGGCUAAAACUCAAAGGAAUUGACGGGGGCCCGCACAAGCGGCGGAGCAUGCGGAUUAAUUCGAUGCAACGCGAAGAACCUUACCAAGGCUUGACAUUCACCGGACCGCCCCAGAGAUGGGGUUUCCCUUCGGGGCUGGUGGACAGGUGGUGCAUGGUUGUCGUCAGCUCGUGUCGUGAGAUGUUGGGUUAAGUCCCGCAACGAGCGCAACCCUCGUUCUAUGUUGCCAGCACGUGAUGGUGGGGACUCAUAGGAGACUGCCGGGGUCAACUCGGAGGAAGGUGGGGAUGACGUCAAAUCAUCAUGCCCCUUAUGUCUUGGGCUUCACGCAUGCUACAAUGGCCGGUACAAAGGGUUGCGAUACUGUGAGGUGGAGCUAAUCCCAAAAAGCCGGUCUCAGUUCGGAUUGAGGUCUGCAACUCGACCUCAUGAAGUCGGAGUCGCUAGUAAUCGCAGAUCAGCAACGCUGCGGUGAAUACGUUCCCGGGCCUUGUACACACCGCCCGUCAAGUCACGAAAGUUGGUAACACCCGAAGCCGGUGGCCUAACCCCUUGUGGGAGGGAGCCGUCGAAGGUGGGACUGGCGAUUGGGACUAAGUCGUAACAAGAGCU